AUUGAACGCUGGCGGCAGGCCUAACACAUGCAAGUCGAACGAGUGGCGGACGGGUGUGCAAUGUCUGGGAAACUGCCCGAUGGAGGGGGAUAACAACUGGAAACGGUAACUAAUACCGCAUAUCAUCGGAUGUGCCCAGAUGGGUGUGGCUAGGAGGUGGGGUAACGGCUCCCCUCGGCGACGAUCCCUAGCUGGUCUGAGAGGAUGACCAGCCACACUGGAAUGGAGACACGGUCCAGACGCCUACGGGAGGCAGCAGGGGGGAAUAUUGCACAAUGGGCGCAAGCCUGAGGCAGCCAUGCGGGGGGUAUGAAGAAGGCCUUCGGGUUGUAAAGUACUUUCAGCGAGGAGGCGUUACUCGCAGAAGAAGCACCGGCUAACUCCGUGCCAGCAGCCGCGGUAAUAC
Molecule: ribosomal RNA, 406 nt
Filed under: uncultured bacterium
Lineage: Bacteria
Description: partial 16S ribosomal RNA
Rfam family: Bacterial small subunit ribosomal RNA
Source: RNAcentral